This 381-nucleotide long non-coding RNA is filed under the name Carica papaya (papaya). Its description in RNAcentral is "long non-coding RNA (CPAP_LNC009890)". Lineage: Eukaryota; Viridiplantae; Streptophyta; Magnoliopsida; Brassicales; Caricaceae. The record is from RNAcentral.
CUAUAUACCUGGUUUUUUGCCUGGCUCCCAAAACAUGUCGUCGUAAAGUGCUUAAAUAAGAGUUCCCAGUCUGGUCCCUAAAAACGACACUAUUUUGAGGAGUUUAAUAAUGAAUUCCUAGCCUGGACGAGGAGCUUUCCCAUUUCUUCUUUUUCACUUUCCAACACAAGAAAGGUUAUGAUAAGAUUAGUACAAAAAAGAUGCUGAAAGAGACCGACAUUGAAGGAGAGAAGACAGGGAGAGAUCGACGCUGAAGGAGACCAAAGUUAAGAAUAAAAAUCAUAAAAGCUGAAGCUAAAAGACGUAUUAGCUUUUCUUCCUUUUUAGCCAUUCUUUUUUGACAACAUUUGAAUUGAAGAAGACAAAAAGACAGAAGUCAAU